AAAGUUCAAGAAAAGAAAGUGAAGCUUUCUCAAGGGCAAAAGGACAGACAGAGGAAGAAGAGGAAGAAGGCGAGAGAGUAGCUGGAGAAGAUUUUGUCCUCGGGUUGGCAAUUGGGGUGUAGGAAUCGGCAUCUUUCUUGAGAAAUUCACAGUUCUGAUUGUUUAUGCCAAGUGGAUGAUAACGAGAGCUGGAGGAGAGCCAGGCCACAAUCUUGGAAUGAGUUCUAAAGAGCUAGGUUAAUUGAUCCUGAGAAGCUUGUGAUUUAAAGAAGUCAGGUUUUCGUUUCCUAGAUACUCUGUGGACAAAGACUCAACAUUUGAGGGGGAGUGUAUGUUGGUGAUGAGUUUGUUGAAGAUGAAAGAGAAGAGAUAGAGAUUGAGGAUGCUUACAUCGUCAAAUACUUCAAAGAGAAGCCAAGAGACUGAUAAAGACUGAAGAUGCGAAGACUCGACACUGAAGACUCCGUCAA
RNAcentral lists this long non-coding RNA (470 nucleotides) under Helianthus annuus (common sunflower). Lineage: Eukaryota; Viridiplantae; Streptophyta; Magnoliopsida; Asterales; Asteraceae. The record is from RNAcentral.